AUCUCUCACUGGACAUCCCAGCACAACGAAAUGCGUCAAAAGUUCGACUUUCCGAUUGUUUAAGCACAUUUUUCAAGUUAGAAAUGCUGGAAAAAGGCGAAAAACCGGAAUGCGCCAAGUGUAAAACGAAACAAACGUGCUCAAAGCAAAUGUUUAUUAGGAAAUUGCCACAGGUAGCCGGGAAAAGUGGCAAAAAUGACAUUUUUGCCCAUUUUUAACGGAAUUUUACAUGAAAAAUUACUGAAAAUCGCUGAAAAUCGCUGAAAAACGUCGAAAUUCCAAAUUUUUAGCUUGAAAAAUGGCAAAAAUCUGAGAAAUACGGCAUUUUUGUCGAUUUUUUACCCUAUUUUUCAUGAAAAACGACUGAAAAACGUCGAUUUUUAGCCAAGUUUGGGCUAAAAUCGCUGAAAUUCCCAAUUUUUUGCCGGAAAAAAGGCAAAAAUCGGAGAGAUUUCCAGCCGGAAAUGUAGCAAAAAUCUGAGAAAAAGCUGAUUUUCAGGCAUUUUCCGACUGAAAAACCAUGGAAAUUGAGAAAAUUAGCCGUUUUUAUCGAAAUUUCUGAUGAAAAAUCGAGAAAAGUGGCCGAAAAACGCUGAAAAUCCCGAUUUUUUCGAGUUUUCACCAAUUUUCUGUCCAAAAAUGCAAAAAUUCCUAAUUUUCUAGAUUUUUUCACCGGAAAAAAACUAGAAAAUCCAGGUUUUCAACCAAAAAAUUGCUAGAAAUUGACGAUUUUUGAGCAAAUUUCUAGAAAAAAGUCUCAAAAAAUCCAUUUUUUCGAUCAAAAAUUACUGAAAUCAUGAGAAUUUUCAGUUUUUCUAUCUAAAUUUUGAAUAUUUUCAGGUUCUCUGCCUCCAUAUGAAGCGAUUUCGGGAUAAUGGUGGAAAAAAUGAUGCGAUUAUCGAUUUUCCGAUGGGACAACUCGAUGUUACGCAAUUUUUGACCGAUGUACGGCGUUUUUUUAGUGGAAAAAUUGGAUUUUACACUGAAAAAAUGGAGAAAAUCGCCUGAAAACGUCUAAAAAUUGACUUUUUUUUUGUGAAAAAACUGAUUUUUAGACAGAAAAACGCGAAAAUUCAAGGUUUCAGCAAUUUUUCAGCUGAAGAAUCGAUUUUAAGCCAAUUUUUCUGUCUGAUAACACCCAAAAUUCCUGAUUUUCAGCUUUUUUAGAGCUAAAAAUUUUAAAAUUCCCAGAUUUUCGGUCGAAAUUGCUCAAAAAAUCAAUUUUUGAGACCUUUUUUCUCAGGAAAAACCCCAAAAAUUGUCAAUUUUAAGCCUAAAAUUACUGAAUCGACUGAAAACGAUGAUUUUCAGAUUUAAAAUGCUGAAAAUGUUCUGGAAAUCGAUAAAAAUGAACUUUUUCGUGGAAAAUAGCUGAAUUUCCAGGUGUUUUUCAGCCAAAAACAAUGAAAAAUUGGAAAUUUCUGCCUUUUUUCCAAUAGAAAAUCUGAUUUUUCACUAAAAAAAUACAAUUUUAAGCCGAUUUUUCUGUAAAAAAACGCUUCAAACUUAACAAAUUACUGUAUUUUUAGCGAAAAAUUACCUAAAAAUUCCGGAUUUUCUGCUUUUUUACAGCUAAAAUUCCCAGAUUUUGAUUCGGUCGAAAUCGUCCGAUAAAAAUUAAUUUUUCGAUCCAUUUUUCCAAGAAAAACUCCAAAAAUCACAAAUUUUUAACCUAAAAUUUCUGAAAUUUCAGGAUAGCGACGAGGCACCGUGUACCUACAGCCUUCAAUCAAUAAUUGUUCAUAUUGGAUAUGGG
RNAcentral lists this small RNA (1756 nucleotides) under Caenorhabditis elegans. RNAcentral describes it as "Unclassified non-coding RNA Y71A12B.34". The record is from RNAcentral. Lineage: Eukaryota; Metazoa; Nematoda; Chromadorea; Rhabditida; Rhabditidae.